CAGUCGCCGCGGGAACACGAAGGGUGCAAGCGUUACUCGGAAUUACUGGGCGUAAAGCGUGAGUAGGUGGUUGUUUAAGUCUGUCGUGAAAGCCCUGGGCUCAACCUGGGAAUUGCGAUGGAUACUGGGCGACUAGAGUGCGGUAGAGGAUAGUGGAAUUUCCGGUGUAGCAGUGAAAUGCGUAGAGAUCGGAAGGAACAUCUGUGGCGAAGGCGACUAUCUGGGCCAACACUGACACUGAGACACGAAAGCGUGGGGAGCAAACAGGAUUAGAUACCCCGGUAGUCCCUGUCUCUUAUAA
This 301-nucleotide ribosomal RNA is filed under the name uncultured bacterium. RNAcentral describes it as "partial 16S ribosomal RNA". It matches the Rfam family "Bacterial small subunit ribosomal RNA", at positions 509 to 809 of the family's 1533-position model. The record is from RNAcentral.